Molecule: unclassified non-coding RNA, 25 nt
Filed under: Mus musculus (house mouse)
Lineage: Eukaryota; Metazoa; Chordata; Mammalia; Rodentia; Muridae
Description: oocyte_clustered_small_RNA5369
Source: RNAcentral
UAUUUCCCAAUAGGCUUCAGGGCAA